Molecule: ribosomal RNA, 397 nt
Filed under: uncultured bacterium
Lineage: Bacteria
Description: bacterial SSU rRNA
Rfam family: Bacterial small subunit ribosomal RNA
Source: RNAcentral
UGAGGAAUAUUGGUCAAUGGGCGGAAGCCUGAACCAGCCAUGCCGCGUGAAGGACUAAGGCCCUACGGGUCGUAAACUUCUUUAGACGCAGAGCAAUAAGGUCCACGCGUGGACCGAUGAGAGUAUGCGUAGAAUAAGCAUCGGCUAACUCCGUGCCAGCAGCCGCGGUAAUACGGGGGAUGCGAGCGUUAUCCGGAUUCAUUGGGUUUAAAGGGUGCGUAGGCGGCCGAGUAAGUCAGCGGUGAAAGACCGGGGCUCAACCCUGGAAGUGCCGUUGAAACUUUCGUGCUGGAGUUCGUGCGAGGGAGGCGGAAUGCGUUGUGUAGCGGUGAAAUGCAUAGAUAUGACGCAGAACCCCGAUUGCGAAGGCAGCUUUCCAGCACGCGACUGACGCUGA